Molecule: ribosomal RNA, 398 nt
Filed under: uncultured Choanoflagellida
Lineage: Eukaryota; Choanoflagellata
Description: partial small subunit ribosomal RNA
Rfam family: Eukaryotic small subunit ribosomal RNA
Source: RNAcentral
GCUUGUCUCAAAGAUUAAGCCAUGCAUGUCUAAGUAUAAGCCUUUAUAUGGUGAGACUGCGAAUGGCUCAUUAAAUCAGAAACUGUUUAUUUGAUAGUGCCUACUACAUGGAUACCUGUAGUAAUUCUAGAGCUAAUACAUGCGAAAAGACCCGACUUCUGGAAGGGUUGUAUUUAUUAGAUAAAAAACCAAUGGGGGCAACCUCUUUGUGGUGAUUCAUAAUAACUUUGCGAAUCGCAUGGCCUUGUGCCGGCGAUGAAUCAUUCAAAUUUCUGCCCUAUCAACUUUCGAUGGUAAGGUAUUGGCUUACCAUGGUUGCAACGGGUGACGGGGAAUUAGGGUUCGAUUCCGGAGAGGGAGCCUGAGAAAUGGCUACCACAUCCAAGGAAGGCAGCAGG